AGGACGAACGCUGGCGGCGUGCUUAACACAUGCAAGUCGAGCGGAAAGGCCCUUCGGGGUACUCGAGCGGCGAACGGGUGAGUAACACGUGAGUAAUCUGCCCCUAGCUCUGGGAUAGCUCCGGGAAACCGGGAUUAAUACCAGAUACGACCACUUUAGACAUCUGUUGUGGUGGAAAGAAUUUUGGCUAGGGAUGAGCUCGCGGCCUAUCAGCUUGUUGGUGAGGUAACGGCUCACCAAGGCGACGACGGGUAGCCGGCCUGAGAGGGCGACCGGCCACACUGGGACUGAGACACGGCCCAGACUCCUACGGGAGGCAGCAGUGGGGAAUAUUGCGCAAUGGGCGAAAGCCUGACGCAGCGACGCCGCGUGGGGGAUGAAGGCCUCGGGUUGUAAACCCUUUCAGCAGGGACGAAGCGAAAGUGACGGUACCUGCAGAAGAAGCGCCGGCUAACUACGCGCCAGCAGCCGC
RNAcentral lists this ribosomal RNA (472 nucleotides) under uncultured bacterium. Its description in RNAcentral is "SSU rRNA". It matches the Rfam family "Bacterial small subunit ribosomal RNA", at positions 26 to 518 of the family's 1533-position model. The record is from RNAcentral.